Molecule: small nuclear RNA, 20 nt
Filed under: Arabidopsis thaliana (thale cress)
Lineage: Eukaryota; Viridiplantae; Streptophyta; Magnoliopsida; Brassicales; Brassicaceae
Description: snRNA_17627
Source: RNAcentral
ACGCGCAACGAAUCCACGCG